This 1540-nucleotide ribosomal RNA is filed under the name Klebsiella ornithinolytica. RNAcentral describes it as "bacterial SSU rRNA". It matches the Rfam family "Bacterial small subunit ribosomal RNA". The record is from RNAcentral. RNAcentral also lists the same sequence under 1 other name. Lineage: Bacteria; Pseudomonadati; Pseudomonadota; Gammaproteobacteria; Enterobacterales; Enterobacteriaceae.
AAAUUGAAGAGUUUGAUCAUGGCUCAGAUUGAACGCUGGCGGCAGGCCUAACACAUGCAAGUCGAGCGGUAGCACAGAGAGCUUGCUCUCGGGUGACGAGCGGCGGACGGGUGAGUAAUGUCUGGGAAACUGCCUGAUGGAGGGGGAUAACUACUGGAAACGGUAGCUAAUACCGCAUAACGUCGCAAGACCAAAGUGGGGGACCUUCGGGCCUCAUGCCAUCAGAUGUGCCCAGAUGGGAUUAGCUAGUAGGUGGGGUAAUGGCUCACCUAGGCGACGAUCCCUAGCUGGUCUGAGAGGAUGACCAGCCACACUGGAACUGAGACACGGUCCAGACUCCUACGGGAGGCAGCAGUGGGGAAUAUUGCACAAUGGGCGCAAGCCUGAUGCAGCCAUGCCGCGUGUAUGAAGAAGGCCUUCGGGUUGUAAAGUACUUUCAGCGAGGAGGAAGGCGUUAAGGUUAAUAACCUUAGCGAUUGACGUUACUCGCAGAAGAAGCACCGGCUAACUCCGUGCCAGCAGCCGCGGUAAUACGGAGGGUGCAAGCGUUAAUCGGAAUUACUGGGCGUAAAGCGCACGCAGGCGGUCUGUUAAGUCAGAUGUGAAAUCCCCGGGCUCAACCUGGGAACUGCAUUUGAAACUGGCAGGCUUGAGUCUUGUAGAGGGGGGUAGAAUUCCAGGUGUAGCGGUGAAAUGCGUAGAGAUCUGGAGGAAUACCGGUGGCGAAGGCGGCCCCCUGGACAAAGACUGACGCUCAGGUGCGAAAGCGUGGGGAGCAAACAGGAUUAGAUACCCUGGUAGUCCACGCUGUAAACGAUGUCGACUUGGAGGUUGUUCCCUUGAGGAGUGGCUUCCGGAGCUAACGCGUUAAGUCGACCGCCUGGGGAGUACGGCCGCAAGGUUAAAACUCAAAUGAAUUGACGGGGGCCCGCACAAGCGGUGGAGCAUGUGGUUUAAUUCGAUGCAACGCGAAGAACCUUACCUACUCUUGACAUCCAGAGAACUUAGCAGAGAUGCUUUGGUGCCUUCGGGAACUCUGAGACAGGUGCUGCAUGGCUGUCGUCAGCUCGUGUUGUGAAAUGUUGGGUUAAGUCCCGCAACGAGCGCAACCCUUAUCCUUUGUUGCCAGCGGUUCGGCCGGGAACUCAAAGGAGACUGCCAGUGAUAAACUGGAGGAAGGUGGGGAUGACGUCAAGUCAUCAUGGCCCUUACGAGUAGGGCUACACACGUGCUACAAUGGCAUAUACAAAGAGAAGCGACCUCGCGAGAGCAAGCGGACCUCAUAAAGUAUGUCGUAGUCCGGAUUGGAGUCUGCAACUCGACUCCAUGAAGUCGGAAUCGCUAGUAAUCGUAGAUCAGAAUGCUACGGUGAAUACGUUCCCGGGCCUUGUACACACCGCCCGUCACACCAUGGGAGUGGGUUGCAAAAGAAGUAGGUAGCUUAACCUUCGGGAGGGCGCUUACCACUUUGUGAUUCAUGACUGGGGUGAAGUCGUAACAAGGUAACCGUAGGGGAACCUGCGGUUGGAUCACCUCCUUA